CUCGUAUAAGUCCAUUGCAUACUGGAACCGGGUGGUCCCUGUAUUAAGCCUAUGGGAGUGAGAGAAUUCAGUAGUCCACGGGUUAACAACAUAAUACCCGCGAGGCUAGACUAGACUGCGCGCGCUGGCGCUAGCGCGCUCGCUGCUUAAUGCAGUAAUAGCGUAUAUAGCCAGGCGGCCAUGCCAUGCCAGGCCUUGUACGUAUGUACUACUAAGUUACGUCUACGGUAGAUCGACUGAAUUCAACCAGAAGUUGCCGGUUGCAAUCGCGAGGAUUGAAGCGUGUUCUUCGGCAACACUGAGGCAGCAUUUGAGAAGAAAUAUCCCUCAGGCUCAGCUCACCAAUUGAAGGACAAGGACAAGGGUUCUAUCCAGAGUUUCCAAGCACAAUUUUUGUAGGGUGUUUUCUGCAGCUGUAACCCAUGCAUACACACCCUAGCCUCCAGCACAGCAUUGACCACCCAGCUAAUCUCAUUCAGCAUUUUCCUUGGCAACAUUGAGGCAGCAUUUGAGAAGAAUUAACCUUCAACUCACCAACCUGCUCUUAGGCAUUUUCUUCAAGGAUGCUAUCCACAGAUGCCAAGUAAGUGGAACAGAUAUACGAGAUGUCGAAGUUGUACCACCACAAGCUAGACAAGAUUUUGAUUCCGACUAACCCAUUCUUUAAAGGUCCAUUGCCUUAGGAAAUUAAAACUUUUAUGUCUUGUAUCAAGACCCUUUUAAAGCAACAUAAUAACAAUUGUUUCAUAAAUAAAUGCCUCCUUAUAUUUUUUACAAUUUUUUGAAAACCUCUCCAAGUUGCUCGUCUAAUGGUGGACCCCGCCCUUAAAAUUCUCAGAGUUCCUCGGAAUGAUUGACCAAAGGAUUAGUGAUGUUAUAUCAAGAACGAUCUCCGCUUAGGCAAGCUACGGUGCUUGCUAGCCAGCUCUGCAGGCAUUAUGUUUUGUACACAAACAUAAACAAUUACUUUUGUUAUUAAAUAGUGUGCUAUGCAUCUUUACUUGUUAUUUAUUGUGGUGAAAUUUCACUAAUGGCCCAAUUUUAAAAAGAGAGCUAUACCAUGAGUCGAAGAAGAUCGUAAUUGAUUUGAAUGCCUGUAUAACGUGUCAACUAAAUGCAUGCUAUAAAGAAUUUCAAAGGUAAGAAAAAAAUGUUUCAUAUAUCUAAGUGACUGAAUGUUUUUCGUACUACCUUCUUCUCAAUUUAAAGAAAUAUUGAAAGUGGUAUAUCAGAGUGAAGAAACUUGUGUUUUUCCCUUUACAAGCUCUGCUCUUUCUUACUUCACUUUCAAAUUUCCUCUCUUGUUAUAUAAACAUUUAGCGAUUGCUUUACUUCACACAUUCAAGCAAUGUAUACUAUCCCUCCUAAAAAAAAGUUUGUAGAUGUGUUAACAAUAGAUAUGGCGACGAAAUGUAUCAGCAUCUCUGAAAUGCCUAAGCAUAAAAAAUGUUGGCAAUUUCUCUGAAUUUUAUUUUUUUAAUUUUUUAUGGAACAUUGUUUACAUUAAUUGCCUAGUUCUUGGCAUGCAAAUGGUGGACACUUUAUUAAUUUCUUUAUAUUUUUGUGCUGUACAUAUGUAGAGGAAUCUUGUCAUAAGCAAUCGUGUUCGUCUGCCAGAAAGUUUUUUUUUGUUUUACUCGGGAAAUUGUGAGGAUUGUUUAUUAUAUUCGUACAAUGAAUUUCAGUAUGUUAUGUUGUGUUACGUGUAAGCGACAAUUCAUUUUUAUAACAGCUCCUAUCGUCCUAGCAUUCAUUGAUAGUAGGCCUAUAUUGUGACACAUUGAGAUACCUUGAACUUGAAACUACGUUUACAUCUUUUUCGAAUUCACGAAAAUACAAAAGAAAGAUGUACAAUAAUUGUAUUCACAUUUACAACA
Long non-coding RNA from Strongylocentrotus purpuratus (purple sea urchin), 1877 nucleotides. RefSeq lists it as uncharacterized. Lineage: Eukaryota; Metazoa; Echinodermata; Echinoidea; Camarodonta; Strongylocentrotidae. The transcript has 5 exons. The record is from RefSeq and is a predicted model, not a curated record.